This 253-nucleotide ribosomal RNA is filed under the name uncultured bacterium. RNAcentral's name for it is "partial 16S ribosomal RNA". It matches the Rfam family "Bacterial small subunit ribosomal RNA", at positions 524 to 776 of the family's 1533-position model. The record is from RNAcentral.
UACGUAGGGGGCUAGCGUUGUCCGGAAUCAUUGGGCGUAAAGAGCGUGUAGGCGGUCCGGUAAGUCCGCUGUGAAAGUCGGGGGCUCAACCCUCGAAAGCCGGUGGAAACCGUCUGGCCAGAGUCCGGAAGAGGAGAAUGGAAUUCCUGGUGUAGCGGUGAAAUGCGCAGAUAUCAGGAAGAACACCCGUGGCUAAGGCGGUUCUCGAGUACGGUACUGACGCUGAGACGCGAAAGCGUGGGGAGCGAACAGG